CUGUCGAGUACAGCACUUUAUUGUAACAUGCUAGUUAGCCAAUCUCAGAUGAGAGCAUAGGAGCAUGCACGUGGCUUCUCAUGUGGUCCGCUAUCCUUCUCUCUCCCUUGAAGGUGUUCAUGCAGAAGUCCAGUAAAGUGAAGUCGCUGUACUGUUUUGUUUUUAUUUUAAACAGUCGCCUAGAGGCCCCGCUGAGGAGAGUUCUGGGAGAAUAAAUCCAUCCAGCUGGCAAAGUGAGAGCUGACUCCUCU
Non-coding RNA from Neolamprologus brichardi, 251 nucleotides. Lineage: Eukaryota; Metazoa; Chordata; Actinopteri; Cichliformes; Cichlidae. The record is from RefSeq and is a predicted model, not a curated record.